Molecule: transfer RNA, 76 nt
Filed under: Pseudomonadota bacterium
Lineage: Bacteria; Pseudomonadati; Pseudomonadota
Also listed under: 1 other name
Description: tRNA-Thr
Rfam family: tRNA
About the family: Transfer RNA (tRNA) molecules are approximately 80 nucleotides in length. Their secondary structure includes four short double-helical elements and three loops (D, anti-codon, and T loops). Further hydrogen bonds mediate the characteristic L-shaped molecular structure. tRNAs have two regions of fundamental functional importance: the anti-codon, which is responsible for specific mRNA codon recognition, and the 3' end, to which the tRNAs corresponding amino acid is attached (by aminoacyl-tRNA synthetases). tRNAs cope with the degeneracy of the genetic code in two manners: having more than one tRNA (with a specific anti-codon) for a particular amino acid; and 'wobble' base-pairing, i.e. permitting non-standard base-pairing at the 3rd anti-codon position.
Source: RNAcentral
GCUGGCGUAGCUCAAUUGGCAGAGCAAUGGUCUUGUAAACCAUAGGUUGCGGGUUCGAUUCCCAUCGCCAGCUCCA